CUACGGGCUGCAGCAGUGGGGAAUAUUGCACAAUGGAGGAAACUCUGAUGCAGCAACGCCGCGUGGAGGAUGACACUUUUCGGAGCGUAAACUCCUUUUAUAUAGGAAGAAGAUGACGGUACUAUAUGAAUAAGCGCCGGCUAACUCCGUGCCAGCAGCCGCGGUAAUACGGAGGGCGCAAGCGUUACUCGGAAUCACUGGGCGUAAAGAGCGUGUAGGCGGAUUAAAAAGUCAGAAGUGAAAUCCUAUAGCUUAACUAUAGAACUGCUUCUGAAACUCUUAAUCUAGAAUAUGGGAGAGGUAGAUGGAAUUGCUGGUGUAGGGGUAAAAUCCGUAGAGAUCAGAAGGAAUACCGAUUGCGAAGGCGAUCUACUAGAACAUUAUUGACGCUGAGACGCGAAAGCGUGGGGAGCAAACAGGAUUAGAUACCCCGGUAGUC
RNAcentral lists this ribosomal RNA (439 nucleotides) under uncultured bacterium. Its description in RNAcentral is "partial 16S ribosomal RNA". It matches the Rfam family "Bacterial small subunit ribosomal RNA", at positions 339 to 795 of the family's 1533-position model. The record is from RNAcentral.